Molecule: ribosomal RNA, 430 nt
Filed under: Fusobacterium sp. oral taxon 203
Lineage: Bacteria; Fusobacteriati; Fusobacteriota; Fusobacteriia; Fusobacteriales; Fusobacteriaceae
Description: bacterial SSU rRNA
Rfam family: Bacterial small subunit ribosomal RNA
Source: RNAcentral
GAUGAACGCUGACAGAAUGCUUAACACAUGCAAGUCUACUUGAAUUUGGGUUUUUUAACUUAGAUUUGGGUGGCGGACGGGUGAGUAACGCGUAAAGAACUUGCCUCACAGCUAGGGACAACAUUUGGAAACGAAUGCUAAUACCUGAUAUUAUGAUUAUAAGGCAUCUUAGAAUUAUGAAAGCUAUAUGCGCUGUGAGAGAGCUUUGCGUCCCAUUAGCUAGUUGGAGAGGUAACGGCUCACCAAGGCGAUGAUGGGUAGCCGGCCUGAGAGGGUGAACGGCCACAAGGGGACUGAGACACGGCCCUUACUCCUACGGGAGGCAGCAGUGGGGAAUAUUGGACAAUGGACCAAGAGUCUGAUCCAGCAAUUCUGUGUGCACGAUGACGUUUUUCGGAAUGUAAAGUGCUUUCAGUUGGGAAGAAAAAAA